This 484-nucleotide ribosomal RNA is filed under the name uncultured bacterium. Its description in RNAcentral is "partial 16S ribosomal RNA". It matches the Rfam family "Bacterial small subunit ribosomal RNA", at positions 28 to 507 of the family's 1533-position model. The record is from RNAcentral.
GUUGAACGCUGGCGGCAGGCCUAAUACAUGCAAGUCGAGCGGAUGAACGGGGCUCGUGCCUGUCUUCAGCUGGCGACGGGUGGGUGAGUAACAGGAAGAUGACUUGCAUAUAGGGAUGAGGUCCGUAAAGGAGCGCGGAGAUAACACAGGAUAAGAGAUAGAAAGGGGGGGAUCAUCAGAGCUCGAGGGAUUAGCUGACACUACGACGGAUUAGCUAGUUGGUGGGGUAAGGGCGUACCAAGGCGACGAUCCGUAACUGGUCUGAGAGGAUGAUCAGUCACACUGGAACUGAGACACGGUCCAGACUCCUACGGGAGGCAGCAGUGGGGAAUAUUGGGCAAUGGGCGAAAGCCUGAUCGAGCCACGCCGCGUGUGUGAAGAAGGUCUUCGGAUUGUAAAGCUCUUUUAGUUGGGAGGAACAGCUGUGAGUUAAUCCCUUGCUGUCUUGACGGUACCAACUCAAUAAGCACCGGCUAACUUCGUG